RNAcentral lists this ribosomal RNA (733 nucleotides) under Sulfobacillus sp. Its description in RNAcentral is "bacterial SSU rRNA". It matches the Rfam family "Bacterial small subunit ribosomal RNA", at positions 260 to 998 of the family's 1533-position model. Lineage: Bacteria; Bacillati; Bacillota; Clostridia; Eubacteriales; Clostridiales Family XVII. Incertae Sedis. The record is from RNAcentral.
ACGGCCUCCCAAGGCGACGAUGGGUAGCCGGCCUGAGAGGUGAUCGGCCACACUGGACUGAGACACGGCCCAGACUCUACGGGAGGCAGCAGUAGGAAUCUCCACAAUGGCGCAAGCCUGAUGGAGCAACGCCGCGUGAGUGAAGACGGCCUUCGGGUUGUAAAGCUCUGUCAGUCGGGACGAGGACGGCGCAGGAGUCCUGCGCGGGGCCGGUACCGACGAAUGAAGCCCCUGCUAACUACGUGCCAGCAGCCGCGGUAAGACGUAGGGGGCAAGCGUUGUCCGGAAUUACUGGGCGUAAAGGGCGUGUAGGCGGUGCGGUACGUAGCGGUUUUAAGCCUCCGGCUCACCCGGAGGAGGGCGGCUAAACGGCAGCACUAGAGGGCAGGAGAGGUGCGCGGAAUUCCUGGUGGAGCGGUGAAAUGCGUAGAGAUCAGGAAGAACACCGGUGGCGAAGGCGGCGCACUGGCCUGGCCCUGACGCUGAGGCGCGACAGCGUGGGGAGCAAACGGGAUUAGAUACCCCGGUAGUCCACGCCGUAAACGAUGGGUACUAGGUGUCGCGGGGGUCCACCUCGCGGUGCCGGAGCUAACGAACUAAGUACCCCGCCUGGGAGUACGGCCGCAAGGUUGAAACUCAAAGGAAUUGACGGGGGCCCGAACAAGCAGUGGAGCAUGUGGUUUAAUUCGACGCAACGGCAGAACCUUACCAGGACUAGACGGGACCGUGAGCG